UAGCUCAACUGGUAGAGCAAGGCAUUAACACUGCUGGGGGGGUGUGGGUUUGAUUCUCACUGAGGCCA
Merluccius polli (Benguela hake) is the source of this 68-nucleotide non-coding RNA. NCBI's taxonomy places the organism in Eukaryota, Metazoa, Chordata, Actinopteri, Gadiformes, Merlucciidae. The record is from the annotation of a GenBank genome assembly.